UUAAUUAAAGCCAAAAAGAGGCAUUUCAUUGUUAAUGAAAAAAUUGGAUAAAUUCCUGAUUAAA
RNAcentral lists this transfer RNA (64 nucleotides) under Pseudophylus stundjuki. RNAcentral describes it as "tRNA-Asn". Lineage: Eukaryota; Metazoa; Arthropoda; Insecta; Hemiptera; Miridae. The record is from RNAcentral.